GCCCCUGUGGUGCAGUGGUCAGCGCGCUCCGUGCUUUACGGAGAGACCCUUGGUUCGAUUCCAGGCGGGGUG
Clonostachys rhizophaga is the source of this 72-nucleotide non-coding RNA. Lineage: Eukaryota; Fungi; Ascomycota; Sordariomycetes; Hypocreales; Bionectriaceae. The record is from the annotation of a GenBank genome assembly.